Molecule: RNA transcript, 467 nt
Organism: Bombyx mori (domestic silkworm)
Lineage: Eukaryota; Metazoa; Arthropoda; Insecta; Lepidoptera; Bombycidae
Exons: 3
Source: RefSeq, a predicted model, not a curated record
CUUAAAUAACACAUGAGAACACACACAGGAGAAAAACCUUAUGCUUGUGAUGUGUGUAAAAAAUGUUUUGCAAAUUCGAAUUACUUAAAAAGACAUGUACAAACACACACUGGCCUUAUGUUUGUGAAGACCUUUGCACGAAUAGAAUAUUUACAUUCACACACGACAACACAUUUAGAGGUGAAACCUUACAUUUGUGAAGUGUGUAAUAAAGGUUUUGGACUAAUGCGUAAUUUAAGAUCCCAUAUGAAAUUGCAUGCCGAAGAAAAACCUUAUGUUUAUCGACUCUUCUUUGACGAAGAGCGUAGUGAUGAUUGUUCUCGAGUAUUAAGCUAUCGUUCCAUCGUCUUAAUAGAAUGACCACGACCUUCAGUGCUGCCGUCAUUGAGGUGGCAGCGACUAUCAGGACACCGAGCCAGUGAAUUGAUUUAGAACAUAAAUAUAUAAUAAUAAAACGUUUUUUUGUU